Molecule: ribosomal RNA, 502 nt
Filed under: uncultured bacterium
Lineage: Bacteria
Description: partial 16S ribosomal RNA
Rfam family: Bacterial small subunit ribosomal RNA
Source: RNAcentral
GAUGAACGCUAGCGGCAGGCCUAACACAUGCAAGUCGAGGGGCAGCACAGAAACAGCAAUGUUUUGGUGGCGACCGGCGGACGGGUGCGUAACGCGUAUGCAACCUACCUUUAACAGGGGGAUAACGGAGAGAAAUUUCCACUAAUACCCCAGAACAUCGAUCAAGGCAUCUUGAUUGGUUGAAAACUCCGGUGGUUAAAGAUGGGCAUGCGUUGUAUUAGGUAGUUGGUGAGGUAAUGGCUCACCAAGCCUACGAUACAUAGGGGGACUGAGAGGUUAGCCCCCCACACUGGUACUGAGACACGGACCAGACUCCUACGGGAGGCAGUAGUGAGGAAUAUUGGUCAAUGGGGGCAACCCUGAACCAGCCAUGCCGCGUGCAGGAAGACGGCUCUAUGAGUUGUAAACUGCUUUUAAACAGGGAUUAAGCACAGUAUGUAUACUGUGUUGAAGGUACUGUAAGAAUAAGGAUCGGCUAACUCCGUGCCAGCCGCCGCAGUAA